This 74-nucleotide transfer RNA is filed under the name Marmota monax (woodchuck). RNAcentral's name for it is "tRNA.Ala". It matches the Rfam family "tRNA". From Rfam's summary of the family: Transfer RNA (tRNA) molecules are approximately 80 nucleotides in length. Their secondary structure includes four short double-helical elements and three loops (D, anti-codon, and T loops). The record is from RNAcentral. Lineage: Eukaryota; Metazoa; Chordata; Mammalia; Rodentia; Sciuridae.
UGGGGUUUUGGCUCAGUGGUAAAAGCACUUGCAUAGCAAGCAUGAGGCCCUGGGUUCAAACCUCAGCACCAUAA